GGGGAACCUGCGGCUGGAUCACCUCCUUUCUAAGGAAGCUGUGGAAUUGGUAAGACGACCUUCCGGCAAGUCUUUGACUUGUCUCGAGGUAUGAACCUUCCCGUGCUUUUUAGAACAUAGAUGGCACCAGUCAGGUGACCAUCGAAACGUAAUACGCCGCGAUGACUUCGGUCACGACGGUAUGGCGAGCUUUCGCCGUCCACGUUUCUCUUUCUUCAAGAAGACAAAAAACCGCGUCGACCGGUUCCCCGAAUGGGCCCGUAGCUCAGUUGGUUAGAGCACACGCUUGAUAAGCGUGGGGUCGGAAGUUCAAGUCUUCCCGGGCCCACCAUUUGCACCAGCAAAUGAAAUUUGCUGUAGCGAAUGAGGGUUAGGGAUGAUGGAAUGUUGGUGAUGCGGAUUGUUGCCGAACCUGGGCUUGUCCUGGGUGAUCGAGCUGGAGGGGCUGUAGCUCAGCUGGGAGAGCACCUGCUUUGCAAGCAGGGGGUCAGCGGUUCGAUCCCGCUCAGCUCCACCAAAUCGAUUGGUGUUGAGACUGACGGCAUUUGUCUUUUGAAGAAAUAAAAGUUUUGCAUUGGCUUACGCUGGUGCGUGUUCUGCAUACAUUGUGAAGAGAAGAUUGAUCUGGAGGCUUCCAGGUGUUGUGGGUUUUGCCCAUGAUGUCCGAGCCCAGUUCCUGUGAAACCAUGGAUGGCCUAGCCGGCCGGAUGUGGUGGAGGAAUUGGAGGUAGGUAGGAAGCUUGUCGCUCUGGAUCGUCAGCGUAAACCGCGUAGCGGUUUAUCGCGUGUUGUUCGUUGCCUUUGGGCAGCGUCUGACGGACGAUCGGAUUACCGUUGCCUGACCGCGCGGUAUCGGAUCCAAUCUCGAGAAGCUGGUCUUAAGACAGGCUGCAAGCGAGCUGCUCGGCGUAGCUCCAAUAAAGCAGACCUGUCGAACACGUUAAUGGCAUUGUUGGAUUGACUGGGUUGUAAAAGGUAACCCGGUCUGUUGCCGUUUCUUAUGGAGCGAGCAACGAGACGAUGAGCAUUGGCAAUGAGAACGAUUAAGUGUCGUAAGGGCAUUUGGUGGAUGCCUUGGCAUGCACAGGCGAUGAAGGACGUGAUACGCUGCGAAAAGCCGUGGGGAGCUGCGAAUGAGCUUUGAUCCAUGGAUCU
This 1155-nucleotide unclassified non-coding RNA is filed under the name Rhizobium sp. H111. RNAcentral describes it as "partial miscellaneous RNA". The stretch from base 1042 to 1155 matches the Rfam family "Bacterial large subunit ribosomal RNA", at positions 1 to 113 of the family's 2925-position model. The record is from RNAcentral. Lineage: Bacteria; Pseudomonadati; Pseudomonadota; Alphaproteobacteria; Hyphomicrobiales; Rhizobiaceae.